This 2027-nucleotide long non-coding RNA is filed under the name Coturnix japonica (Japanese quail). RNAcentral's name for it is "lncRNA (ENSCJPG00005018922.1)". The stretch from base 1704 to 1855 matches the Rfam family "Small nucleolar RNA SNORA70". Lineage: Eukaryota; Metazoa; Chordata; Aves; Galliformes; Phasianidae. The record is from RNAcentral.
GGACCCGGAAGUGAAGGGGCGGGGCCUAAAACAAGAUGGCGGCACUCAGAAGCUGGGGGUGGGGCCUAAAACAAGAUGGCGGCACCCGGAAGUGGAAGGACCAGGAAGUGAAGGGGUGAGGCCUGAAACAGGAUGGCGGAACCCGGAAGUAAAGGGGUGGGGUCUAAACCAAGAUGGCGGCACCCGGAAGUAAAGGGGCGGGGCCUAAAACAAGAUGGCGGACCCUAAAGUAAAGGGUGGGGACCCGGAAGUGGGAAGGGCGGGGCUUAAAACAAGAUGGCGGCACCCGGAAGUAAAGGGGAGGGACCCGGAAGUAGAGGGAGGGGCCUGGAAGUGAAGGGGUGGGGCCUAAAACAAGAUGGCGGAACCCGGAAGUUGAAGUCAGGGCCUAAAACAAGAUGGCGGAACCCGAAAGUGAAGGGGGCGGGGCCUUAAACAAGAUGGCGGGGCCUUGUUAGGGCCCUAAUGGGUUUCUAUGGGUCUAUAAGGGUUUCUAUGGGUCUAUAGGGGGUUUUAUAGGGUUUCUAUGGGUCUAUAGGGGCCUCCAUGGGUCUGUAGGGUUCUCUAUGGGGCGCUAUGGGGUUUCUAUGGGUCUAUAGGGGUUUCUAUGGGGUUUCUAUGGGUCUGUGGGGUCUCUAUGGAGCGCUAUGGGGUUUCUAUGGGUCUACAGGGUCCUCUAUGGGGAACUGUGGGGUUCUAUGGGUCUUACAGGGGCCUCCAUGGGUUGCUAUGGGCUCUCUAUGGGGCACUGUGGGUCUAUAGGGGUCUCUGUGGGGCACUAUGGGGUCUCUAUGGGGCACUAUGGGUCUAUAGGGGUCUCUAUGGGGCACUGUGGGUCUAUAGGGGUCUCUAUGGGGCACUAUGGGGUCUCUAUGGGGCACUGUGGGUCUAUAGGGUUAUCUAUGGGGCACUAUGGGGUUUCUGUGGGUCUAUAGGGGCCUCUACGGGGCACUAUGGGAUCUCUAUGGGGCACUGUGGGUCUAUAGGGUUAUCUAUGGGGCACUAUGGGGUUUCUAUGUGUCUAUAGGGGUCUCUAUGGGGCACUAUGGGUCUAUAGGGGUCUCUAUGGGGCACUGUGGGUCUAUAGGGUUAUCUAUGGGGCACUAUGGGGUUUCUAUGGGUCUGUAGGGGCCUCUAUGGGGCACUAUGGGAUCUCUAUGGGGCACUGUGGGUCUAUAGGGUUAUCUAUGGGGCACUAUGGGGUUUCUGUGGGUCUGUAGGGGCCUCUAUGGGGCACUAUGGGCUCUCUAUGGGGCACUGUGGGUCUAUAGGGGUCUCCAUAGGGUACUAUGGGGUUUCUAUGGGUCUGUAGGGGCCUCUAUGGGGCACUGUGGGUCUCUAUAUGGCACUGUGGGUCUAUAGGGGUCUCUAUGGGGCACUAUGGGGUUUCUAUGGGUCUUUAGGGGCCUCUGUGGGGCACUAUGGGGUUUCUAUGGGGCACUGUGGGUCUAUAGGGAUCUCUAUAGGGUACUAUGGGGUUUCUAUGGGUCUGUAGGGGCCUCUAUGGGGCACUGUGGGGUCUCUAUGGGGCACUGUGGGUCUAUAGGGUUAUCUAUGGGGCACUAUGGGGUUUCUAUGGGUCUAUAGGGGCCUCUAUGGGGCACUAUGGGUCUAUAAGGGUAUCUAUGGGGCACUAUGGGGUUUCUGUGGGUCUAUAGGGGUCUCUAUGGGGUUUCUGACCUACUAAUUACCCUAAUUAACCCCCGCAGUUAAUUAAGCCGGCCGUGGCCCCUUCAUUUCAAUGGGGUCCCGGCGUGCAAUGGCUGCGCACAGUGACCCCCCCCCGGCUGUGUAGGGCGCCCUAUAGGGCACACAGUCACUAUAUAGGGCGCCCAUAGGGGCCGGGGGGACAUAAAACCCCAUAGGACCCCAUAGGACCCUAUAGGAUCUUACAGAACCCCAUAGAAUCCCAUAGAGUCCUAUAGGACCCCAUAGAGCCCAUACAACCCUAUAGAACCCCAUAGAACUCUCCCAUAGGAAACCCCCAUAGAACCCGUAUGGGGAUCUUAUAGAACCCCAUAGAAUCC